RNAcentral lists this long non-coding RNA (341 nucleotides) under Androctonus crassicauda. Lineage: Eukaryota; Metazoa; Arthropoda; Arachnida; Scorpiones; Buthidae. The record is from RNAcentral.
ACUAUUUUUAAUGUUUUACGAAAUGACAAAACAAAAAGGCAUAAAGACUUUAGCUCUGGGGUCUACAAAAUCCCGAUAUAUAAUCUAGAUGAUAAUCGGCCAGAAGUUUAUAUAAGGGCCAUGGCUCAAAAUUUCAGAGACCAUGUUCGGGAACAUAAAGACAACAUCACAAAAGGUAACCUCAAUACUGCUCUAGCACUAAGAGUGUUUGAAAAGAAUGUAGAGAUCUCCUGUCAAAAUGCUCAGGUUACAAAACCGGUCAAUGACCAUAAAAUCCUGCCAAUAACAGAAAAAAUUGAAAUUUUGAAAAAUAGUCAAAACCGAAAUGUCAUUAACAUUAG